RNAcentral lists this long non-coding RNA (336 nucleotides) under Carassius auratus (goldfish). RNAcentral's name for it is "lncRNA (ENSCARG00000004799.1)". Lineage: Eukaryota; Metazoa; Chordata; Actinopteri; Cypriniformes; Cyprinidae. The record is from RNAcentral.
AAAUGAUUCACGAAACGCGAUUCGGAGUCCCGAUCUGAAUCAAAUGUUUUGCGCACUCGCUCCGAAGCCCCGAUCAAAUGAUUCACGAAACGCGAUUCGGAGUCCCGAUCUGAAUCAAAUGUUUUGCGCACUCGCUCCGAAGCCCCGAUCAAAUGAUUCGCGAAACGCGCUUCGGAGUCCCGAUCUGAAUCAAAUGAUUCGCGAAACGCGCUUCGGAGUCCCGAUCUGAAUCAAAUGUUUUGCGCACUCGCUCCGAAGCCCCGAUCAAAUGAUUCACGAAACGCGAUUCGAAGUCCCGAUCUGAAUCAAAUGUUUUGCGCACUCGCUCCGAAGCCC